UUCCAACUUGAGAAAUUAAAAAAAACUUUAUUUGAAUUUUAAAGAUGAAUUUGUGCCUAUAUACAAAUUAAAUAAUUCAAAUAAUUAAUUACAUAUUACACAGAUAACAAAUAAUUUCCAGCCUUCUAAUAAACAACAAGUUAUUAACUUUUCCCUAUAAAAAUUGUUGUCUACGGGUGAGUGGGAUCUCCAUUGGACCCUGGCGCAGGGUUGUUUGAAAGCAAUUGCCAAAGAAGCCCAUAUUCCCUUGACCACUCACGAUGUAAUGACAACGGUCUACAAGCUACUCCAGAUUGAGGAGAAGCAAUAAAAAUGGUGACCAAUAUCAACAUAAAUUGCACAAAUGUGAAGAGGAUCUUUCUAUAAGAGAAAUCCAUAUGUAUAUUGAGUAUCUUUUUUCCCAAGAAACUUAAUAAGACAAAUUAAAAUAGAAAAAAGAAAAUGCUAGCUCUUUUUUGUAUUUUGGGCUAAUUCAAUUAUUUUGGUAUAUAGAAGUGCAAUAUUAAUGAGUUUG
This 514-nucleotide long non-coding RNA is filed under the name Cicer arietinum (chickpea). RNAcentral's name for it is "long non-coding RNA (CARI_LNC000821)". The record is from RNAcentral. Lineage: Eukaryota; Viridiplantae; Streptophyta; Magnoliopsida; Fabales; Fabaceae.